RNAcentral lists this ribosomal RNA (525 nucleotides) under uncultured Cladosporium. RNAcentral describes it as "eukaryotic LSU rRNA". It matches the Rfam family "Eukaryotic large subunit ribosomal RNA", at positions 77 to 523 of the family's 3401-position model. Lineage: Eukaryota; Fungi; Ascomycota; Dothideomycetes; Cladosporiales; Cladosporiaceae. The record is from RNAcentral.
GCUCUAGUAACGGCGAGUGAAGCAGCAAUAGCUCAAAUUUGAAAUCUGGCGUCUUCGACGUCCGAGUUGUAAUUUGUAGAGGAUGCUUCUGAGUAACCACCGACCUAAGUUCCUUGGAACAGGACGUCAUAGAGGGUGAGAAUCCCGUAUGCGGUCGGAAAGGUGCUCUAUACGUAGCUCCUUCGACGAGUCGAGUUGUUUGGGAAUGCAGCUCUAAAUGGGAGGUAAAUUUCUUCUAAAGCUAAAUAUUGGCCAGAGACCGAUAGCGCACAAGUAGAGUGAUCGAAAGAUGAAAAGCACUUUGGAAAGAGAGUUAAAAAGCACGUGAAAUUGUUAAAAGGGAAGGGAUUGCAACCAGACUUGCUCGCGGUGUUCCGCCGGUCUUCUGACCGGUCUACUCGCCGCGUUGCAGGCCAGCAUCGUCUGGUGCCGCUGGAUAAGACUUGAGGAGUGUAGCUCCCUCGGGAGUGUUAUAGCCUCUUGUGAUGCAGCGAGCGCCGGGCGAGGUCCGCGCUUCGGCUAGGA